RNAcentral lists this long non-coding RNA (6747 nucleotides) under Nicotiana tabacum (common tobacco). RNAcentral's name for it is "long non-coding RNA (NTAB_LNC009407)". Lineage: Eukaryota; Viridiplantae; Streptophyta; Magnoliopsida; Solanales; Solanaceae. The record is from RNAcentral.
UUUGAAAGAAAAUGACAUUUUUAUGAAAACUCGUAACUAAUUUGUACCUUGGGAAAAAAAUAUUCUUUUGUUUGUCUUCAAAAUGACCAGCUCUCUUCCUUAGGUCUCAAACGAAAAAUAUUAUCCCAAAAUGCUAAGUGUAUUGUAUCCUUUUAAGUCUUUAUUCAACAAGAUACUUUGCGAAAAUUAUAGUAGUAAUUCUAUAUGAUAAAAUUAAUCAUCAAUUAUAGGUCCAAAUAAAACAAAUCACUUAGAUUAACAAACAUGCCGAGUAAGUAAAAACAAAAGCCGCCAUAGGUGACCCCAAGCGAUUCGCUUGUUUUCUCGCUAUCAGGUGCCUUCUAAGAAUAAGGGAUUUGCUGACUCCAUACUCGGUAUGGUGGUGAGUCUUGCAUUAAGAUUCCAAGGUUUGCUCCAAGUGCACAUACAAAGAAAGAAAACAAAUCAAAAGAAUUAGAGAAGAGAUUCGAGUUCUAGAGCGACAAAAAAAAAUGAAUGAACAAGAUUCAUAUCUUAUUUUGUUGUUAUUGACAUCAUGAGUUCAAAUAGUGCAUCAUUUCUAAGUUCACCAAGAUUAAUAAGUUAGUUUUUAGUGUCUUCCAAAUAACAUGACAAGAUAUAAUAUUUCCUAUAUUUACUUGAGAUCCAAAUGAGUUAGACUAAUUACGCUAGUAUAAACAUAUCCUUUCCUAUAGGCAUGGUUUUAAGGUGAUGAAAGUCUCAUAUACAGUAAUCUUUUUUCGCUUAAAUAGAUAGGUGAUUAACGCCUAAUUACAUGCUUUCUACUAAAUACCUUAACCGACAUAUUAAUUAUUAACAUGGUCUAAGCAUACCUUCUAAUAAAGGUCAACUUUCACAUUUUGAAACAAGGAUCAGUAACAAUCUAUGCCUAAAAUUUAUGCUCAAUAUCAUAUAUGAAUAUAACAUGCUACUUACAGAUUUAAUAACGAUAAAUAAAUAAAUCCUAACGAUAUGAUUUGUAACAGGAUUAAACACACAAGCACAAUACCCGAUCCUUUAUAGAUACGACUUGAAAAAUAUCAAUGGUAAUAAGCAGUGGCGGAGGCAGGAUCUCCACGAAGGGGGUUCAAAAAAAAAUUUGUAUCUAGUGGGAAUUGAACUCAUGACCUUAUGUAGAUUUUGAACCCCCUUGACCACUAAACUACACUUUUGAAUUAUGUUAAGGGGGUUCAAAACUUAAUAUAUAGAAGUAAAAAACAGAUUUUGCUUUAUAUAUACUGUGUAUUUUUUCGGCGCGCCCCCUAAAUGCGCCCCUGGUAAUAAGUUCUAAAGCACGGCCUAUAUUAAAAUUACAUACUCGUGAUUUGCUUCUACACAUUGCUUAGUAUUAACAGAAUAUUUGACCACCAACUAAUGAGUACUAAACUAAAUCGGUAACAUCUAAAAAUGCGCUUUAAAGAAAAAGCAGAAUCAUCACAAGAAGAAGAGAAACUGACCUGUUUGAGCGCAGCAAACUGGAGAGCGUCAACCAGAUCUACUAUUUUCGACCUCGGAUUGGCUACUUCCGAUAAUCAUCUUACUCUGUCACAAACAAAAUGAAGGCUAUGUUGUGGCUAUAGGACAACAGAGACCAAGAGGCAGAGAAGCUUAACGCUAGAUUUUUAAUAGAGUAAAGAUGAAAAUAAACUAUGAGAAGUCAACUAAACAAUGAGGUUUUUUGGGGAGAUAGGAGGGGGCGUCCAUCCAUUUUGUGGGAUAAAGGUGCGGCCCAAAGCUUGUCCGAAAAUCUCUUCAAGGGUCAGCAUUUAUAGGCUGAUUUCUAGGGUUCUUGGUUUGGGCUCGAUUUCGAAAUAGAGUGAAAGCUAUUGAACGUUUGAAAGUUGAACGUUGAUGUUGCAAAAAAUUAAUUAAGGUGCAGAGCUUCUUGUUAAAAAUGGUAAUAGCAAGUUCUAUCAUGGCUGAGCAAGGAUGGAAUUUUGUGAAGAAGAGGAAAGGGAGGAGAAGAAAUGUCUAUUGGGUUAGGAGGGAGAACAGGGUUAGCAAAUUGGAUUUAACUGAUGGGAUAAAUAUUGACCACUGGAUUAAAAUAACGGAUGGCUCAGAUUAGGCUUAGGAUAAAACAAGAUAAAAAUAAAGAAAAAUACAUAAAAUUCUCUAAAAGAUGUGGGGUCAGAGUGUGAAGGGUGUGCUAGGCGUGUGUUUUAGAAUGUUGGCGCCUAUGUGGCGCUGACAUGGGGCUUAUAUGUAGGAGUGGCAAUUUGAGCCCAAACCCACUAACCCACCCAACUAGCCCAGAGAUUAAUGAGUUGGGCUACAAAUAUUUUAGCUCAUGAGUCAAUUUGGGUUGAGCCCAAGUUAACCCAUUAUUUUUUAUAGCCCAUUCUGACCCAUUUAACAGCUCAAAUGCAACCCAUGAAACUCACCAAAAAACAAAGUAUUUCAACCCAAUAUAUCUAGAAAUUUACUUAGUUGCCCUAAUUUUAUUUAUUAUUUUUUUUUGUAUUUUUAAUUUUCUAUUCUUCUGUUUUUCUACACCACCCAACCUACCCCUACCCCUACCCCCGCGCAAAACCCCCCAAAAAAAUUUACUUUUUUUUGUAUUUUAAAUUUUCUAUUUUUUUGUUUUUCUGCGCCACUCACGCCUCCCCACCCAUAAAAUAUUUGUCAACUUACAUAUUUUAAGGUAAAAUAUUUUUUUAUUCAAGAUGAGCAUGAUUCUAAUAUGGGUCAAGUUGGGCGGGUUGGGUUAUGACCCAUUGUUUAGCCCAUCUUACCCAAAUACACUUUGGGUAGGGUUGGGCAAUGACCCAUUUAUUGACCUAACUCAUCUUGACCCGCCCAAAUUCAGCCCAACCCGCCCAUUUGCCACCCCUACUUAUAUGGAGCUGACAUGAAAAAGAAGUAGAGUAGGUGGGCUGGUGGGUAUAGGCCUCCGAUUUGGGCUAUGGAUAGGGCUAAAUCUCUUCUUCUUUAUCUUUUAUUUGGGCUUCUUAAAUCUUGAUAUGCCUAAUAGUAAAUAUUUAUAUUAAAUAGUUUUCUAGUGUUUAAAAAAUUAUAAAUUUGUGUUGUAAAAAUCCAUUUAGUAGAUAACCACUAAUUUAAAAUGGGCAUGUAAUAAAUAUGUAAAUCACCUGAAUAACUAUAUUACAAAUAGGAGUAGAAUCAAUGCAAUGCAGUGACAAAUAUUUGUAAAAAGAGAAUAUUAUUAGUUGAUUGACGUUGAAUGAAAUUAAUUGAGAUAUAAAAUCGUCGUCAUCGUCGAGGUAGUAGUAGUAGUAGUAGUAGUAAUAAUAAUAAUAAUAAUAAUAAUAAUAAUAUCUCGUGAUGAUAACGACAAAAAUAAGAAUAAUAAAAUAACAAUACUAAUUAGAUAAAAUAGUAAAAUAAAUAUUCUUACAUAAUAAACGAUAUUAGAAGCUCAAAUAAAUAAUUUGGAAGAAAAGAUGGACAAAAUUGGAUGUCAACACCACCCAGCAGGCAACAGGCAAGCAGAGUCCUCCAACAAGUCAAUACUAAACAUCAUGAAGAAAAAGCUUGAAGACGCUAAGGGACUGUCGCUGGAGAUACUACCAGAAGUAUUGCGGGCUUACUGAACAACUCCGAAGACGAGCAUAGGAGAGACGCCCUACUAUUUGGUCUAUGAACCGAGGUAGUAAUACUAGUCAAGGUCAGAGAACCUAGCCUAAGGUACUCCCAUGAGAGCGGUACAAACAACGACGAGAGCAGAAGGCAGGAGCUCGAUGAAGUCGACGAACGAAGAGAUAUGACCUAUAUAAGAAUGAUCACCCAAAAACAACAAGCAGAACGCUAUUAUAACAAGAAAGCAAAGGUCAGGCCACUCAAAGUCGGGGAUUACGUACUUAAAGCUAAAACACAUGUGAGCAAAGACCCCAGGAAAGGCAAGUUGGGAACGAAUUGGGACGGUCCGUACAAAAUCACAGCAAAAGCAAAUAAAGGGUCAUUUCAAUUAGAAACAAUGGAAAGAAAGCUACUACCAAACAACUGGAAUAUUAGCCACCACAAAUACUUCAACUUUUAAGAGAUAAAGCGUCCCCCAAGUCGUACUCUUUUUUCCCUCACUUGAGUUUUGUCCUAGUUAGGAUUUCUCAAGGAGGUUUUUAACGAGACGACAAAGGGGACACUUUAAGAUGAAGUAUACUAAGAUGGGAGCGUGACUGCUAAUUCAUUGCUCUACCUCUCAAACACUCUCCAGGUCAACUAAUGAAGGGACUAGAUAGACUAAGACUGGGACUGGAACGCCAGCCAAUGCCCGAUAAAUUUGUAAUAUAUCUCCAAGUAUGUAACCAGAGCAAUAAUGCCAAGAUAAUAAACUUUACACUUAUCAACACAUCUUUCUCAAAUUUAGGUUACGUUCGACCUUGUUCGAACUAACACAUACUAGCUCUCGGCCAUAACAAAAUUUAGGUUACAUUCGACCUUGUUCGAACUAACACCUACUGGCCCUCUGCUAUAACAAAAUUUAGUUUACGUUCGACCUUGUUUGAACUAACACCUGCUGGCCCUCGGCCAUAACAAAAUUUAGGUUACAUUCGACCUUGUUCGAGCUAACACCUACUGGCCCUCGGCUAUAACAAAAUUUAGGUUACAUUAGACCUUGUUCGAACUAACACCUGCUGGCCCUCGGCCAUAACAAAAUUUAGGUUAUGUUCGACCUUGUUCGAACUAACACAUACUGGCCCUCGGCCAUACUAAUAUAUAGGUUACGUUUGACCUUGUCCGAACUAACACCUACUAGCCCUUAGCCAUAAUCAAAUUUAGGUUAUACUCGACCUCGUUCAAACUAACACCUACUGGCCCUUGGCCAUAAAUCUAAAUUACAUUUGACCUUGUUCGAAUCAACACUUGCCGGACCUCGGCCAUAUUCUAACACACAAAGAAUGAGCCAAGGUAUCCAAGCAACAGAAGCCAAAAACAUACAAAUACAGAAAACGAACUACAGGAAAAGAAGCAGACGCAAAAAACAAAUUUGGCAUUGCCGACUUAAAACAUCUAUUACAAAGGCUCGUGAAGAUGCCGCCAAAAAUGCACAAUAUUUACAAAAAAGAGAAGAAGAAAAACUAUUGAUCACCGCCAUCAUGGCCUUCUACGCCCUCAGUACCUUGUUCAUCUCCACUCACGCUAUCCAUGCCCUUAGGAUAAGCGGCGACAUACCAAGCGUCCUAUUCAAGCCUAUCCAUAUAUUCAUCAUCCUCAUCAUCACCCUCAGGAGUAGCAGAUCAUACCCGCAAGCGAUUAAAGCUUCAUGAGCCUUAACACGAACACCCUCGAGGGUGACCUCAGAAACGGAUCCCCCCUUAUGCAAAUCUCGAUAUACAUCCAAUUGAGCCUCGGCAUGAAUACACUCCUCAUACAAUUCCCGAGGAACAUUAGGAAAGUCCGAAGUAUGAGAAGAAGAGGACCGUAUAAGGAGUUGAGCCUUCUCAGCUUCCAACACGACCACCCGACCAUGAAGGAUGGUGUUAUCUUUCUCCAGCUUUCCGACCCUAUCCUCUAGUUGUUCCUCCUUAGCCUUCGUCGUGGACUGGUCAUUCUCCCGCUCGGCCUGGAGGGCGUUGUACGCAAGCUCAAGCACCACCAGUCUUCUCUGAGCAUCAAAGCGAAGAGACUCUGCCUUCUCAAGCUCACUCUGUUUCUCAUAAACUUCACCAUUAAGGCCCUCCAACAGAAGCCGACAUUCCUCCAAUCGCCUGCACAGCUCGACCACUUGUGCUUAAAGGUCACUGCAUUGGGCCUUCACGCCCUUACUGACCUUAAGCUCCUCUUCCUUACUUCUCAACGUCCUUUCAAGGAUGCUGCAUUUUUCAAUGGACUUCACCGACUCAUCAUUUUUCUCCUUCAACUCACUUCGAAGGGCUUGCAUGUUGCCACCCUCAUCAAGUCAUCGAUGAAACUCCCGGUACUUGCGAUGGUACUCAAAAUACUUGUUUUUCAAUCUUACAAAAAAUUCCCUAUGCCUUUCCUCCCUCCGCGCUCUCGAUCUCCAAAAUCAUAGUUUGCGACAAGAAGAAGGAAAGAAAUGAGUCAAAAACAAAAACAAAGACAAAAGAAGAAAAUAAUAGGACACUGAAAACUCACUCUAAGGCAAAGGACAACAAUACUCCUCGACAGAGUAGCGUCACUCAAAUCAUGAUCCAUAGGAAUCACAAUGGUCCUUGUAGACCUCUCCAACCUCACCUCGAGUUGGGUAAAUCCUUCCUACACCAUCUUCAGUUCGCCGCAUCGACGUCUGAACCCGUAUUAUAACUUUCCUCAGCAACGUCUUUGCCUCUCUCAUCGGCUGGCAAAGUAGUAUCAUCAGUUGGUCGAGAAGUCGAUGAUCCCUCUUGCUGAGAAGUAUCAAGGACUCCAAUAAUCAACCCUUCGGCCUCCGUCAUUGCAGAAGGAAGAGACAUACCCACGUUGACCUCCGUCGACCUUGGAGUAUCUAAUACAUGCUCGACGUCGUCUCCGAUGACAAUGGUCGUCGUCUCACGGAGCGUUAAGUCACCCCCUUAUUAAGCCAACAGCCCGGGCAACCCCUUCACCAGCAUCUACAAACCUUAUUUUGCGAGGCAUCAUGUCUUCAUCGCCAGGUUCAAUCUCGUCAUGUUCAUCUAUGAGACGGUAUAAGAAGGGGGUCGAGGUCCCCGUGGUCGAGGAAGGAACAGGACCAGACGCAGUAGUAGGAGAAAUGGGGGCAUGAGUAGAGGCAUCUGAGGGAGAGGAAGGGAUCAGGUCAUGAACAGAGGUUGUCGCAGUCAAAAUGGGGUCAGAAGCUAAAGACUU